GCGAAUCUAGUUUGGCUGGAUAGAGUAUUGGCUACGAACCAAGUGUUUGUAGGUUCGACUCUUCCGAUUCGCA
Molecule: transfer RNA, 73 nt
Filed under: Shewanella violacea DSS12
Lineage: Bacteria; Pseudomonadati; Pseudomonadota; Gammaproteobacteria; Alteromonadales; Shewanellaceae
Rfam family: tRNA
About the family: Transfer RNA (tRNA) molecules are approximately 80 nucleotides in length. Their secondary structure includes four short double-helical elements and three loops (D, anti-codon, and T loops).
Source: Rfam by way of RNAcentral